AUUUGGGAGGCGGAGACAGGUGGAUCUCUUGAGUUCAAGACCAGCCUGGUCUACGUAGUGAGUUCUAGGACAGCUACACAGAGAAGAAAGGAUUACUCUACGUUUUAGAAAAAGAUCACUUUUUAUUUUAUGCUGUCUUAGUGUUUUAUUUUACUGCUAUGAACAGACACCACAACCAAGGCAACCUUUAUAAGGACAAUAUCUAAUUGGGGCUGUCUUACAGAUUCUGAGAUUUCAGUCCAUUAUCAUCAAGCAUGGCAGCGUCCAAGCAGGCAUCGUGCAGGAGGAACUGAGAGUUCUACAUCUUCAUCUGGAGGCUGCUAGGAGAAGACUGGCUUCCAGGCAGCUAGGGUGAGGAUCUUAAAGCCUUUGCCCACAGUGACACACUUCCUUCAACAAGGCCACACCCCUUCCAACAAGGCCACACCUCCAAAUAGUGCCACCCUCUGGCCAAGCAUAUUCAAAUCACCACAUAUAUGUAUGAGUGUUUUAUCAGCACGUAUGUGUGUGUAUCAUGUGAAUCCCUGGUGCCUGUGGAGGCCAGAAGAGGGCAUUAUAGAUGGUUGUAAAGCAUUAUAUGGGUGCUGGGAAGCCAAAUUGGGUCCUUUGGAAGAGCAGCCAGUGCUCUUAGUUGUAUAGCCAUGACUCCAGUCCCUUGCUUUGGAUUUGAAUCAACAGAAGAAGUCAUGAUGCUGUUAUGAAGAGUUUAAUCUCAAGAGAACAGUCACUCUCCAGAGCCACAGAGGUCUCUUCCUUAUCUAAUGGCCUGGCCUUCCUAUUCGAAGGUUAUAGCAGGAAGAGCUUCAGUUGGGAAACAGCUGUUGAUAAGAUUUUCACUAGAAGGUUUUUUUGGGAGGAGAAACCCAACCCACUCACUUGAUGGGUAUACACGGUCAAUGAACACUUGGGAGUUUGCACGUGGUGGGCAAGGCGUUGAGUAUGUAAACUAAGAGGCUCAGAGCCGUGCUUCAGCCUGCUCUCAAGGACUGGGAAGACAGGAGGAGUGGCAGACAAGCCAAGGGAUGAGCUUGCAAGCAGCCAUGAUAGCAUGCCAGUGUGAGACAGUGUGAGAACAGAAGUUUGUAAUGGAAAAUGAGGCUCUUAAGCCUCGCAGUCUUAUUAGUUCCUGGUUUUUAAGUGGUGGCCCCUAAACACACAAUACAAUGACUGUC
This 1172-nucleotide long non-coding RNA is filed under the name Rattus norvegicus (Norway rat). RNAcentral's name for it is "long non-coding RNA NONRATT032673". Lineage: Eukaryota; Metazoa; Chordata; Mammalia; Rodentia; Muridae. The record is from RNAcentral.